This 673-nucleotide long non-coding RNA is filed under the name Salmo salar (Atlantic salmon). RNAcentral describes it as "lncRNA (ENSSSAG00000083158.1)". The record is from RNAcentral. Lineage: Eukaryota; Metazoa; Chordata; Actinopteri; Salmoniformes; Salmonidae.
GGGUACACUAGCUGUAAGGUGAAUAUUAAAGCUCUUCAGUACUAGAAGCAGGGUACACUAGCUGUAAGGUGAAUAUUAAAGCUCUUCAGUACUAGAAGCAGGGUACACUAGCUGUAGGGUGAAUAUUAAAGCUCUUCAGUACUAGAAGCAGGGUACACUAGCUGUAGGGUGAAUAUUAAAGCUCUUCAGUACCAGAAGCAGGGUACACUAGCUGUAGGGUGAAUAUUAAAGCUCUUCAGUACUAGAAGCAGGGUACACUAGCUGUAGGGUGAAUAUUAAAGCUCUUCAGUACCAGAAGCAGGGUACACCAGCUGUAGGGUGAAUAUUAAAGCUCUUCAGUACUAGAAGCAGGGUACACUAGCUGUAAGGUGAAUAUUAAAGCUCUUCAGUACUAGAAGAAGGGUACACUAGCUGUAGGGUGAACAGUAAUGGUCUGAUAUACAGUAUCAGGGGGAUGAAGGGACAGAGAGAUGUAGUCUGGUCCCCUGCACCAGUCCAGCCACAUGACUACUGAGCCUCACAUACUCACACGUUGCCAGACAUGUUCUGUUCUGUAGUGUGAAGAGGACUCUAGAGUGGUGAGAGACACGUGGGUCAGCACACACACACACACACACACACACACAGACCUGCACUCUCUCUCUCUCUCACACACAUACAAAAAAAUAGUCAC